AGCAGAGGGAAUUAAAAUUACACCAACGC
This 29-nucleotide non-coding RNA is filed under the name Rattus norvegicus (Norway rat). Lineage: Eukaryota; Metazoa; Chordata; Mammalia; Rodentia; Muridae. The record is from RNAcentral.